GGGAUGACCCUGGCGAGUGCUGGGCGCAGGCUUCAAACCUGUGGGGUUCUAACGGACCAGUGGUGCGACUCCACCUUCCCC
RNAcentral lists this transfer RNA (81 nucleotides) under Triparma pacifica. Its description in RNAcentral is "Selenocysteine transfer RNA". It matches the Rfam family "Selenocysteine transfer RNA". Lineage: Eukaryota; Bolidophyceae; Parmales; Triparmaceae. The record is from RNAcentral.